Dufourea novaeangliae is the source of this 1084-nucleotide long non-coding RNA. RefSeq lists it as uncharacterized. The transcript is spliced from 2 exons. The record is from RefSeq and is a predicted model, not a curated record. Lineage: Eukaryota; Metazoa; Arthropoda; Insecta; Hymenoptera; Halictidae.
GCAAGUACAACGACUAGACGGCUGCGGCAUUGCUCGACGAGACGACAAGAAAGAAAUCGAGAGCAACGCGCCAGUGUGUAUAGACACGAGUCAGUGGCUAUUACCGUGAUCUUUGAUCUUAAUUCGUUUCAUCGUAGUACCGCUGUUCGGACACUGCUUCUAAUAAAGCAGUUUGUCGCUGUUCCUCCGACAGAAACUAUCCUACCGCCACACGUUAGACACUUCUAGGAAAGGAAACGAUCGUAACAUGGCUCGACUUUUCUUCUCCGUCAUCCUCUUGGUCUGCCUGUUUUACGUAUUCCAGGCGAAUCCCGUGCCAGAUGAGGCCCCACAAAUUACGGUCAGUGAGUUGGACAAUCUAACGGACCAGGUGAAAAAAGCGUGGAAUACCGCGUCCGAUACUCUACACGAGAAAGUUGGCCAAUGGAUGAACGAAACAAACUUCAGCGACACCAUCGAAAAAGCGAAGUCAUUUCUGAACCAAGCCGGCGAGAAUAUUCGUAAGGAAGCAGAGAAAAUUGGAGAAAAACUUCAUGAUUAGUAAAUUCAUCGUUCCGUGCAAAAAUAUACUACCUAUAUUAUAUUUACGUACAUAUGUACAGCAUAUGUAUAGGUAUACGCAGCUCAUGAAAUCUAUACAUAUAACUUUGGCACGCGUGAUGCGAUUUUUUUUUUUGCGUACGACAUUUUCCCAGCUACAAGCUUACUUACAGUGUAAAGAUUUUCUCGAGAUUUCGAAUAUCGAGCCAAUUCGAUGCCACACGAUUCGAUGUUGAGUUCGACUUUCUUUUUGCUCUUUAAACUCUGUUCGCGAGUAACGUUGCGUCAUUCUUGUCGCGUCUAGAGUAUGUUAUGUAUGUAAUAUGUAUGUAUGUAUAUGCCCAUACAAGCACUAGCACGUUUCUUGAAAAUAGCGUCAACUUUGACACGGACAUCGAGAUAAAAAAAUGAUACUUUACUUUAUCGGAAUAUAAAUUACACAUCGGCCGAUUAAUCGCUGACUAUCGUUACGUAAUGUAUUUGUAAGAUUUAGAAAUUAUGAAAAUAAAACACAAAAAUUAAUGCAUGUCGCCGGAUAGUUUUA